RNAcentral lists this ribosomal RNA (841 nucleotides) under Fulvifomes sp. SP-2012b. Its description in RNAcentral is "eukaryotic LSU rRNA". It matches the Rfam family "Eukaryotic large subunit ribosomal RNA", at positions 74 to 887 of the family's 3401-position model. The record is from RNAcentral. Lineage: Eukaryota; Fungi; Basidiomycota; Agaricomycetes; Hymenochaetales; Hymenochaetaceae.
AUUCCCCUAGUAACUGCGAGUGAAGCGGGAAGAGCUCAAAUUUAAAAUCUGGCGGCUUUUUGGUCGUCCGAGUUGUAACCUGGAGAGGCAUUUUCCGCGUUGGACCGUGUACAAGUCUCCUGGAAUGGAGCGUCAUAGAGGGUGAGAAUCCCGUCCAUGACACGGACCGCCAAUGCUUUGUGAUAUGCCUUCGAAGAGUCGCGUUGUUUGGGAAUGCAGCGCAAAAUGGGUGGUAAAUUCCAUCUAAAGCUAAAUAUUGGCGAGAGACCGAUAGCGAACAAGUACCGUGAGGGAAAGAUGAAAAGCACUUUGGAAAGAGAGUUAAACAGUACGUGAAAUUGUUGAAAGGGAAACGCUUGAAGUCAGUCGCGUUCCGUGGAACUCAGCCUUACUUCGGUUUGGUGUACUUUCCAUGUGAACGGGUCAACGUCAAUUUUGGCCGGUGGAUAAAGGCAAAGGGAAUGUAGCGUUGCUUCGGUGACGUGUUAUAGCCCCUUGUUGUAUACACCGGCUGGGAUUGAGGACCGCAGCACGCCCUUGUGGCCGGGGGUUCGCCCCACGUACCGUGCUUAGGAUGUUGGCAUAAUGGCUUUAAGCGACCCGUCUUGAAACACGGACCAAGGAGUCUAACAUGCUUGCGAGUGUUCGGGUGGAAAACCCUUGCGCGUAAUGAAAGUGAAAGUUAGGAACCUUCUCGCAAGAGGGGGUGCACUGACGCCCGGCCCUGACGUUCUCUGACGGUGCUGCGGUAGAGCAAGUAUGUUGGGACCCGAAAGAUGGUGAACUAUGCCUGAAUAGGGCGAAGCCAGAGGAAACUCUGGUGGAGGCUCGUAGCGAUUCU